CGGCCGCGUCGACGGGGAAUAACAGUUGGAAACAGCUGCUAAUACCGCAUGAUGCAGUUGGGUCGCAUGACCCUGACUGCCAAAGAUUUAUCGCUCUGAGAUGGCCUCGCGUCUGAUUAGCUAGUUGGCGGGUAACGGCCCACCAAGGCGACGAUCAGUAGCCGGACUGAGAGGUUGGCCGGCCACAUUGGGACUGAGACACGGCCCAGACUCCUACGGGAGGCAGCAGGUGGGGAAUAUUGGGCAAUGGGCGCAAGCCUCGACCCAGCAACGCCGCGUGAAGGAAGAAGGUCGUUUCGGGUUAGUAAACUUCUUUGUCAGGGACGAAGCAAGU
Molecule: ribosomal RNA, 334 nt
Filed under: uncultured bacterium
Lineage: Bacteria
Description: bacterial SSU rRNA
Rfam family: Bacterial small subunit ribosomal RNA
Source: RNAcentral